Molecule: ribosomal RNA, 434 nt
Filed under: uncultured bacterium
Lineage: Bacteria
Description: bacterial SSU rRNA
Rfam family: Bacterial small subunit ribosomal RNA
Source: RNAcentral
AUUGAACGCUGGCGGAAUGCUUUACACAUGCAAGUCGAACGGCAGCACGGGGCAACCUGGUGGCGAGUGGCGAACGGGUGAGUAAUACAUCGGAACGUGCCCAAUCGUGGGGGAUAACGUAGCGAAAGUUACGCUAAUACCGCAUACGAUCUACGGAUGAAAGCGGGGGAUCGCAAGACCUCGCGCGAAUGGAGCGGCCGAUGUCAGAUUAGGUAGUUGGUGGGGUAAAGGCUCACCAAGCCGACGAUCUGUAGCUGGUCUGAGAGGACGACCAGCCACACUGGGACUGAGACACGGCCCAGACUCCUACGGGAGGCAGCAGUGGGGAAUUUUGGACAAUGGGCGCAAGCCUGAUCCAGCCAUUCCGCGUGCAGGAUGAAGGCCUUCGGUGGUAACUGCUUUUGUUACGGAACGAAACGGUUACGUCUUCCUAA